RNAcentral lists this ribosomal RNA (394 nucleotides) under uncultured bacterium. RNAcentral's name for it is "bacterial SSU rRNA". It matches the Rfam family "Bacterial small subunit ribosomal RNA", at positions 30 to 429 of the family's 1533-position model. The record is from RNAcentral.
AUUGAACGCUGGCGGCAUGCCUUACACAUGCAAGUCGAACGGCAGCGGACCUUCGGGUGCCGGCGAGUGGCGAACGGGUGAGUAAUAUAUCGGAACGUACCUUUCAGUGGGGGAUAACGUAGCGAAAGUUACGCUAAUACCGCAUAUUCUGUGAGCAGGAAAGCAGGGGAUCGCAAGACCUUGCGCUGAUUGAGCGGCCGAUAUCAGAUUAGCUAGUUGGCGGGGUAAAGGCCCACCAAGGCGACGAUCCGUAGCUGGUCUGAGAGGAUGAUCAGCCACACUGGAACUGAGACACGGUCCAGACUCCUACGGGAGGCAGCAGUGGGGAAUAUUGGACAAUGGGGGCAACCCUGAUCCAGCCAUGCCGCGUGUGUGAAGAAGGCCUGGUUGUAAG